Chiloscyllium plagiosum (whitespotted bambooshark) is the source of this 391-nucleotide non-coding RNA. NCBI's taxonomy places the organism in Eukaryota, Metazoa, Chordata, Chondrichthyes, Orectolobiformes, Hemiscylliidae. The record is from RefSeq and is a predicted model, not a curated record.
UUAGAUUUUAAAAAUUCUAUCCACUAAUUGUUCAGGAUUUCUGUUUUCGUUCAUUGGAUUAUUAAUAUUUCUAAUAAUUAUCUUUUGUGCUCACUCCAAUGCUAACUUAUUUUCAGGACAAAGAAUGAAGACUUGACUUUGGAACAGUUCAGAGGAGCCACAGAGGUCCUGUGGCAGAGAAGGAAGAUCGGUCAAAUAUCUCCAGAAAUGUCUUCCAAAGUCAGGGCACUUAUCAAAUCCUUCGACAGCUUGCAGCCAGAAGCAGGCGGUGGUUUCUCGUCACACAUUCGGACCGGUGAUUGAAGUUUCCUCAUUGGCAAGAUCCCUCCUGCUGUUGCUGUGUCACCCAUACAGCGACAUUUGACCUCAGGACCCUCAGGCAUUGCCAGAC